GCUGGGCAUGGUGGCUCAUGCCUGUAAUCCCAGCACUUUGGGAGGCCGAGGCGGGUGGAUCACCUGAGGUCAGGAGUUCGAGACCAGCCUGGCCAACAUGGCGAAACCCCGUCUCUA
This 117-nucleotide non-coding RNA is filed under the name Pan paniscus (pygmy chimpanzee). Lineage: Eukaryota; Metazoa; Chordata; Mammalia; Primates; Hominidae. RNAcentral also lists the same sequence under 1 other name. The record is from Rfam by way of RNAcentral.